RNAcentral lists this ribosomal RNA (253 nucleotides) under uncultured bacterium. Its description in RNAcentral is "partial 16S ribosomal RNA". It matches the Rfam family "Bacterial small subunit ribosomal RNA", at positions 524 to 776 of the family's 1533-position model. The record is from RNAcentral.
UACGUAGGGUGCAAGCGUUGUCCGGAAUUAUUGGGCGUAAAGAGCUCGUAGGCGGCUUGUUACGUCUGCUGUGAAAUCUCGGGGCUCAACCCCGAGCCUGCAGUGGAUACGGGCUAGCUAGAGUGCGGUAGGGGAGACUGGAAUUCCUGGUGUAGCGGUGAAAUGCGCAGAUAUCAGGAGGAACACCGGUGGCGAAGGCGGGUCUCUGGACCGAUACUGACGCUGAGGAGCGAAAGCGUGGGGAGCGAACAGG